Non-coding RNA from Schizosaccharomyces pombe (fission yeast), 1154 nucleotides. The record is from the annotation of a GenBank genome assembly. Lineage: Eukaryota; Fungi; Ascomycota; Schizosaccharomycetes; Schizosaccharomycetales; Schizosaccharomycetaceae.
ACCAAAACUGUAAAGAUGAAAUAAUUGAGUUUGACAUUGGUUAUACUCGCCAACAUCACCCUAGUCGAACGUUAGAAGAAGAAAUGAUAUUUUAAAGUAAUUAACCGUACCUUUUCAAGAGCUAUACGAGCAUGUAUUUCGUAAACUAAUACAGAAAACUCAUUUUGAAUCCUUUGCACAGUUAAAUCCUGUCUUAAACUUUUAAAUUGAUCGCAUAUAUAUGCAUAGUUUUUCUCUUCUUUCCAUUUCUUCUUUAAAAGUUCGAGAGUUUGCUUAAGAACUGGAAGGGGUCGAACAGUAUCCGGAUCAGGAGCCGAAGUUAAUCGCAAAUACCUUUUCUCUAAUUCUGUGGACCGUCCUAUAAUAGCACCAUUCUCCGGGUUGACUUUUAGCUCUUCAGAUUUAGCGUUAUUUUGAGAACGAGAACCAUUUUCAAACCUUCUUCUUCUUUUUUCUUUCUUAUCCACUUCAUCUUCUUCACUUAAAAGUGAAAAUUGAUUUCCAGAAACAGGCUUCUCAACCUUUCUUUUUUUAUCUUCGAUGAUUGUAUUUUGAGCAUUUGUCAGUUUCCUUAGGGAUUCUAAAUUCAUAGAAGACCAAUCAACAUUCCAUAUGUUUCCCAUUUCGUAUUGACGAGAAAUUAGCAAUUUUACUUCAUCCUCUAAUUCUGGCUGGCUGUUUUCCUCAGCGUCUUGGAUGCAUCUACCAAUAAAUUCUUUCAAAGAGUCCGGCCAAGGGCUAUGAUGUUCUUUUUUCAUAUUUAAUAUUUUUCAUUGAGCUAUAUGAUUAAUGCUAAAGUUAAGUACUUUUCUCAACUUCCUCAAUUGCUAAAGUGGUGAGUACCGAGAUUGUAUGAGAAGUGCGAGUCCGUCAGCUUAACCCUGUCAGUAACGUUGUAAGUCGAUUUCAUUAUCCAACCUUUCAAUCAAUAAGGAUUAAUUUAUUACUAUUCAGUUGAUCGUUCAUCAUUUUUUCCUUUAAAAAUUUAAAAAGUCAUCAAAUAAUUCAACGGUUCCACCUAAACUUGUUUGUUCGCUUAAAAUUUAUGAAACCAACAUGGAAAGUAGUUAAUAUUAACUCACGCUAUUCACGCAUAUUUUAUUCUGUAUGCCUCAUAUAGCCUUGAUUAAACUACUAAAAGAGAGUAAUAUACC